UGAUCGUGAUCAUACAAGUGUAUAAAUUUACUGAAUACAUAAUUAUAUUUUUGUUCAUUUUGAAGACAGGAAAUUUGAGCGCAGCAGACACCUCAGGAAGGUUUCUCACAGCAGUGCAGAAUGACAAAUUUUGAUGGAGGCGCAAAAUGAAGAGGUGUAAAUUGAAGGAAAGAGAGAGAGUGAUUGAAUGAUGGAGGAGACAUUUUACAAGUAACUGAUGGAGAAGAAAGCUGCAGAGAAGACGCAAGAAGUAAGGUGAAAUUGUCUCAUGAAAGUGCUGGACUGCCUGUUUCCAAGACCUCUGUUGGACUUUGCCGAUAUUAACCAAAUGGUUUCUGACACCACAUACCUGUCCACAGCGAUGGCCACCAGUGUAAACACGGAGGCUGACACAGACAUGCCCUGCACCAGCCCACUCAUCUUACAGAUGGUGUUCGUAAAUGGCCAACCUUGGGGAGAAAUAAAACAUUAUGAAAGCCCGCAGUGACACAUAAAGCGCUCGGUAUGCUGUGGCCCUUGCUGACAAACGGCUACACUUCUUAGACCUCUUGCUGUUCAAGACAAAGCCGCAACACUCCGCGAGCAAAAAGGUUUCCUUUUUGCCUUUUGAAAGAAGAAAGAAAAGCACAUGGAUAAACACAAGAAUAAGUAAUUUCACGCCAACUCUUUUCCAAGACUUGUGUUUUUUGUAGCAAGCUGUGCUAACAUGACAUCCCCUGCCAAAGCAUCUACAAAUAUUAGUUCUGUAUUUCGCUACUUAUGAGCUUACUUGGCCAUUUGGCCUUCUAUUUCGUCCUGACACAAUUUCUGCUGGGUCAACAUCUACACUGUCAGAAGAAAUUGAAUGUCUCUAGCUGGUACCCUUUCAAAAAAAGUAUACCUUUGCACCUAGGGAGUUCAUAAUAGUACCUCAAAGCUACAUAUUGGUACCAAAUGUAUACACAUCUGUACCUAAAUGGGUUUUUUAAUGGGUACUGCUCCAGUGACAGCUUGGGACCAUUUUUGACCAUUUCUUUGGUAACAACCCACCAUGAAAACCUGUGGAUGAGUGUCUGAGACCUUUGCUUGACCUUUAGGAUCCUGUCAGAUUUGCAGUACACAUUGGAAUUGAAUAACAAAUCAUUUUACAUAACGAGUGAACAGAUUUUUCUGUUUGACAUUUAAGCAGUGUAUAUAGAUUAGCCCCUGCAAAGCUCUAAGCCUCCAUACUUUGUCACAAUUUUCAUCUUUUUCAUCAUGUUUGUGUCUUUGAAGAAAUUAUUUAACCUAAAAAAAAUCCAUGCAAUAAUAGUUUUGAUAAAUCAACAUCUUGCACGGCAAUGCUACAGUCUUAAAAAUAAAGGUUCUUUACAGCAAUGCCAUAGAAGAACCAUUUUUGGUUCCUCAUAGAACCAUCCAGUUAAAGGUUCUUAAUAUAUAACCAUUUCUAUCUGACUUGGAGUAUAGUGUAAAAAAUCGUUUUCCUUCUUUAGAUGUUAAAAGUUCUUUAUGAAUCUAUCAUUUGUUGAUCCAACUUUU
Non-coding RNA from Misgurnus anguillicaudatus (oriental weatherfish), 1518 nucleotides. The record is from RefSeq and is a predicted model, not a curated record. Lineage: Eukaryota; Metazoa; Chordata; Actinopteri; Cypriniformes; Cobitidae.